CGAAAGAGAUCGCGAUUCCUGGAGCAGGGAACGCAUCGGACAACCCAUCGAUCGCGAAGCGCGGCCGGCUCGAUGAGCGGCGGAGCUAAAGUUACAUGGUCUCCCCACACGUGUGCGUAUAAUCGUAAACGAAGUCUUUGUUUCCAUUCUUUAAUACGUCUCUCUACGAAAAAACACUAAUGGUAAAUAUCAUGUUUUUAUUCUGUUAUCCGGCGGAUCCUGUUUAUACUGACUGGGUUAUAUUGCGUGAUCGUUUAGUCGGAGGAUUUAUCGUGGAAGUGACGUGGGAGGGGAAAAUGUCGGAAAGACGGAAGGCUGGGCGGGGGGGGGGGGGAGUGGCGAUGCUGUAGGGCUCUACGAUACGUUGGAGCGGAGAGGGGUGGUUUUCAAAGCUACGAGGAGUAAGAGAGAGUCGAGGUUCUGGGAUCGGUGGGCGCACAGGCCGAAGCGGGCGAGGAUCAGGGGGCG
This 468-nucleotide unclassified non-coding RNA is filed under the name Bombus terrestris (buff-tailed bumblebee). RNAcentral describes it as "misc RNA ENSBTSG00005021948.1". The record is from RNAcentral. Lineage: Eukaryota; Metazoa; Arthropoda; Insecta; Hymenoptera; Apidae.